Drosophila gunungcola (fruit fly) is the source of this 1079-nucleotide long non-coding RNA. RefSeq lists it as uncharacterized. The transcript has 3 exons. The record is from RefSeq and is a predicted model, not a curated record. NCBI's taxonomy places the organism in Eukaryota, Metazoa, Arthropoda, Insecta, Diptera, Drosophilidae.
UGCUCCAUGCGAUAUCACGCAUACGCCGCGUAAACGUAUCUCAAGAUCUGUGCCACAUUCGGCCGUAAUUGCAUAUGAAAUUGUUCGAAUUUUUAAAUUACAAAUUACAAAAAUAAUGUAAUAAAUAUUUUGCUUAGCUCGCUGACAGAUUUGGUGCAACUGCAACAGUUUUAAAAAUACCCCGGCUUAUGAGAUGGCCCACCAGCUGUGCACAGCUUUGUUUUGUGGGCCGUAAAAACACAGCUCUUGAUAUAUAAUGUCAAAAGCACGAAAAUGUAACAAAUGACACACUCAGGGGGAAGCCUAAAAACAAGCGAAUCGGGCAUUAUGCUGAAGAGAUCAGGAAAACAAAGAACCCGGCCAGCAAACAAACCAUAAAAAACACAACAACCAGAAACAACCAGAAACAACAACCAAAACGCUAAUCAAAUAUGCAAGCAAUGAGCUUCAUCAACAUAAAAUUAAAAAAUCAUAAAAUGCUAAACUGCUAAACUGCACAGCAUGAACAAAAUCUAAAAUCAAAAGCCGAAUCCAAAUCCAAAUAAAAACAAAAAUCAGAUAUCUUGACAACGAGCUGGGGCGUCAAAAUGCCUCGUAAUUGCGGCACAUGUACGAAAAACAGCAGAAACGAAAAUCAGAAAAUGAUUUUACGAUCCAGCCGUGUACAUAUGGUGAUAUGGAAAUGGUCAGCACCGUCACACGGAUGUUCCAUCGACUCGAUCACUUUGUCAUUCCAUCAGCAUGUGAUCUUCGCCUCCAGCUUCGAUUUGAGUUAUGGGAUCUGUGUGGAUAGUAACCGAGAUAUUGAUUCUACUUUCACUCUCAUAUGGGUUAUUUAUGCGGAAAAGAAUUCCAUGCCGGCUUAUGAUUUAAGGAGGAGCUUAAAGACUUAAGCUUUCAGGAAAUGCAAACAAAUCACCGGAAAUUCAGCUUCAACUUUUAGUAAUUCUUUUUAAAAUGCAAGAAGAGAGAUAAAUCUUACAUUAACAAUUUUAAUAUAUGGCAACAAGAUAAUUUUAAUUAUUUUUCAUUUCUAUAGUUGGCAAACAACUAUAGAUAUAGUGAUAAAUUUUGAAUUU